Molecule: ribosomal RNA, 408 nt
Filed under: Triticum aestivum (bread wheat)
Lineage: Eukaryota; Viridiplantae; Streptophyta; Magnoliopsida; Poales; Poaceae
Description: partial small subunit ribosomal RNA
Source: RNAcentral
AUGCUUUCAAACAACAACUGUGCUUUCCCUACAAAUAAACAGGUAACAGAUCAGUUAUAUUCUACAUCUGAUCUUACCCUCUCUUUUUUGAAGAAAACCAUGUUUCUUCUCUCUGAACCAAAACUUCAUAUAAUUACUUGUCGUGGUAAUAUCAUGUCAGAUGCCAGGGGGUGGCUUAUUAUGGAUGGGGCCAGAAGUGCGUCGUCGGGUCCUGGAAGCGGGAGUGAGCACAAGCUCGGACGGACACGAGAUGUACCCAGGUUCAGGGCUCUCCUAAGAGAUGAAACCCCUACUCCUACUCUGCGGGGUCUCCGCAUGAUCACUAUAUCACGAGGAAUACAAUGGUGCUCCUGGAGCUGUUUGGCUAGAGGAGGAAGAAGGGUAAGGCUAGCUCUCUUCUCUCCCUAG